This 67-nucleotide transfer RNA is filed under the name Alloxysta sp. ZJUH_2016001. Its description in RNAcentral is "tRNA-Gln". The record is from RNAcentral. Lineage: Eukaryota; Metazoa; Arthropoda; Insecta; Hymenoptera; Figitidae.
UAUAUUUAAGUGUUUAAGCACUAAAGUUUUUGAAAUUUUAAGUAAUAGAUAAAUCUAUUAAAUAUAA